This 1613-nucleotide long non-coding RNA is filed under the name Marmota monax (woodchuck). The record is from RNAcentral. Lineage: Eukaryota; Metazoa; Chordata; Mammalia; Rodentia; Sciuridae.
GGAUUUUCAUGUGGAGGCAUUCGUGCCUGAAUCCAAAGUCAAGGACAACUCAAAACUGUGAACACCUAGCUGCUCCUCAUGCAGUAUGUCAGAGAGGAGUUCAGACUUGGGACCAAUGGGAAAAAAAAAAAUGGUCCACACUGUAAAAUGAGAGGAGGCUAAGAGAGCCUAUGUUUCUGCAUGGGUAUGAGAAAAGGGUGAGCUUCAAGGCCUGGAGCAGGAAACAGAUGGGGGUGAGUGAACAUUAAAAGGCUUGUGCUAGGGACUAUGAAGCCAAACCAGUCCCAUCCCAGCAAGAGCCCUGAAUCAGCCAAGGUCCUGCAUUAUUAUGCAACACUGCCAGGGCUAGCCAAAACUUGCCAACCCUUGCUGAUGGGUGUUACUGGAUUUUCUGUGACAAAUUAACCUGUGUGAGUAAUGAUUUCCUUCAACUUGCACUCUCCAAGUCAUGGAGAGCCAAAAAAGCCAAAUGCUCUUUGAGAAGAAGCCCAUUUUUUUUCUUCCCAAAUCUGCAAUUCUACAUUUGAGUGGCAAAGGCCUUUCUCUCUGCCCCCUCCACACUCUCAGCAUCCCCAUUCCCUCUUUCAGGAAAACUUGCCUUGGAAUGGGUUGUGCCCCCACUCCAAAGGCCACAGCACAAAAACAUUCAGAACCAUGAAGGGAGAAGACAGCUGGUGUCCCCAGGAAGGGCAGUUGUCCGUUCUGGCCCAGUGUCAGGGAAGCAGGUGCAAGGACAGACGACCCACUUGCUUUCUACAGGAUUAACUUCCAUCUCAGCCAAAACACUGCAGUCAGAGGCAAAGGAUGGGGCACCACAGGCAGCUGUGAAAUUUGUUUCCAGGGGAAAGUGGGUGGAUCAGAUUGUAGACAAACUGUAAGAGAAAUCACCUUUCAUGAAGAGCUUCCAUGGGUAGGGAAGAGAGAUGAACCAGUCCCAACUGUGGGAAGAAGACAGAGGAGGAAUUUCAUACAAAGACUGCAGUCCCAUAAGGUAGAACAGAGAUGGUGCCUCUCCUGAAUGUCUGACAUUUGAUUUCAGUCUAGAAAUUCUGUGGCCUUCAUUCAGCAGCUCUCUGAGACAUGCUGUGUGCAGGAUGUAGGCUGGAUACUGCAGGUUUAAAAAGGUACAGAACUGCUCUUGAUUGGGCCCAUCCAGAUCUGGGACAAGGCGGAGGUUUAAGGCCACCUCUCCUGCACAGCCACAUCUGAAUCGUCCUUCCAGGCCCCACACACAUGAUCACAACGUUAAUGAGCCUGGCUGCGAGCAGGUUUAUGUGGGGAUCAGUCUGCCCGAACCCUGCGUCAUCCUAAAAAUGCAAUUCUUAUCCUUUUCAGAUCUCGACACAGAUGCAGAGUCCCUGUGACUUGCCCAUGGACACAUAACAGAUAGCGUGUGGGGUUGGUCAGGUUACCAUGCCACUCCUGGUUCCAAAAGCCCUGCUCUUUGGCAGGCUCUGGAAUCUCUUGCUGAAUUCUCACAGCAAAAGCCCACCUCAGAGCCUUCCCCCAUCUUUCUGGAAGCAGGCUGAGACCCGAGGGAGAGUCCACCCUCCCUCAAUCAUAGCCUUUGUAUUGUAUCUGGCUUUGUAUUGUAUCUGACAGAGUGAGUGCUC